UGGCGAAGCCUCGCGUCGCGCGAGAGCGGGUUCCGGGUUCGCGCCACCCUCCUGCCCUGCGCUGGGGAGUUUCCUGCCUCGGGGGCUCUCGCUGGCGGCACGCCGGGGCUUCCCCAAUCCCCGCAGGGACCCCGAGUGGGUUUAGGUCCCUCGUUUAAGGUCGUCGUGGCGUCUGGCCGUGGGUAGAAGGAGUCACAGAGAAGGAGGAAUUUACAAUGGGCGCAAGGGAGAGGAAGUGAUGAAGAGGAUUAACACCCUGCUUCUAAUUCUGGCCAACUCGGAGGCCCUGCAUGGAAAAUCAGAAGUGACAAGAAUCCUGGAAGAGGGCCACCUGGCCAUCAGAAAAUUCCAGAGGGAUGUGGUCACUGCCAGACACACACUUGGUUAGAAACGGAACUAUGUAGUGUUACGGAAGUGAGUGGCAUAUUGCCAUGAGUAAUGAGAUAUGAUCCCAGCAGCACCCACCGCACCAAGAAGCUGAGCGUUGACUAAAGGUAUGAUGGCUACUAGACUCUUAUCGUGAACUAACUGUGCCACACAUUGAAACUGAAAUGUGGGUCCCUUAGAGUAACUUCUUUGUUUCCUGUUUUAAGAAGGUCAGAAGACGGGAGUGCAAACAUUCCAGUAACCAAACAUGGUGGUAUCAAGCCUAAUUAGGAAUA
This is a long non-coding RNA of Zalophus californianus (California sea lion), 662 nucleotides long. RefSeq lists it as uncharacterized. Lineage: Eukaryota; Metazoa; Chordata; Mammalia; Carnivora; Otariidae. The record is from RefSeq and is a predicted model, not a curated record. The transcript has 3 exons.